UCAGAGAUAUCAGUCCUGCAGGGCGAUUCACGAUUCCCUUGCGACACGGAUUCAGAAACUUUACCGUGCAGUCAUUGGUCAAUGCCUAGCGCGGCGAGCGUUU
Molecule: long non-coding RNA, 103 nt
Organism: Aricia agestis (brown argus)
Lineage: Eukaryota; Metazoa; Arthropoda; Insecta; Lepidoptera; Lycaenidae
Exons: 3
Source: RefSeq, a predicted model, not a curated record